UGGGGAAUAUUGCACAAUGGGCGCAAGCCUGAUGCAGCAACGCCGCGUGAGGGACGACGGCCUUCGGGUUGUAAACCUCUUUUGGCAGGGAAGAAGGGAGCUUGCUCUUGACGGUACCUGCAGAAAAAGCACCGGCUAACUACGUGCCAGCAGCCGCGGUAAUACGUAGGGUGCAAGCGUUGUCCGGAAUUAUUGGGCGUAAAGAGCUCGUAGGCGGUUUGUCGCGUCUGCUGUGAAAACGCGAGGCUCAACCUCGCGCCUGCAGUGGGUACGGGCAGACUAGAGUGCGGUAGGGGAGAUUGGAAUUCCUGGUGUAGCGGUGGAAUGCGCAGAUAUCAGGAGGAACACCGAUGGCGAAGGCAGAUCUCUGGGCCGUAACUGACGCUGAGGAGCGAAAGCGUGGGGAGCGAACAG
This 414-nucleotide ribosomal RNA is filed under the name uncultured bacterium. Its description in RNAcentral is "bacterial SSU rRNA". It matches the Rfam family "Bacterial small subunit ribosomal RNA", at positions 355 to 775 of the family's 1533-position model. The record is from RNAcentral.